This 253-nucleotide long non-coding RNA is filed under the name Nicotiana benthamiana. Its description in RNAcentral is "long non-coding RNA (NBEN_LNC011860)". Lineage: Eukaryota; Viridiplantae; Streptophyta; Magnoliopsida; Solanales; Solanaceae. The record is from RNAcentral.
GCUACGACCAUGUCUAAGUCAAAAACGGCUACGACCACCUCCCAAGUAAAAAAUGGUUACGGUCGUUUCUAAGGAACUAUGGGUUACGAUCACCCUCAUCACGUAAACAACCACGGUUAUUGUCGGAAUCUGCUCAUCGAGCUUGGUCCGAGCCCGACCUCAAUAAGCGGAGGGACUACCUGUUUGGAUCAAAACCUGACCUCAUGAUAAUGAAUGAGAUCGACACAUUUAUUAAAGUCUAUUUAUGGCUAAU